UUCUGCUUCAGGACUCAGUUUCUCUAAAUGCCAGGGUUGAGCCACAUUGGAGAUUUUCAAGUGUUUAUGGCAACAGAACUCUAAGCCCAGUUGAAACUCAAAGUGGUCAAAACAGAGGUGCUCUGUAGAGCUGGGGAAUGGAGACCCCAGUGACCAACAGGAGAGCCCCCGCCCAGUCCCACGAGACCUUAGCGCUCAGAGGAGCCCAGUGAGAACACUCCUCCAGGCAGGUUGCAUCUCUUGGGUUUGCAAAGAAAAGGGAUUUGCACUCAGACCCCUCACAUUAUCCCCCAAUUUAUCCUUCCUUCUUUCCACUCCCCUCAGGGAGAGCUCAGAAAAACUUAAGGAGCUCUAUAGCCAUGACAAGUCCUUGAGAAGAGAAUUGAUGACCAAGGAGGGGCCCUCCACGUUUGCCCC
This is an RNA transcript of Diceros bicornis minor, 417 nucleotides long. It is a transcript of the gene named ral guanine nucleotide dissociation stimulator-like, with no coding region annotated. The record is from RefSeq and is a predicted model, not a curated record. Lineage: Eukaryota; Metazoa; Chordata; Mammalia; Perissodactyla; Rhinocerotidae. The transcript is spliced from 2 exons.